RNAcentral lists this ribosomal RNA (440 nucleotides) under uncultured bacterium. RNAcentral's name for it is "partial 16S ribosomal RNA". It matches the Rfam family "Bacterial small subunit ribosomal RNA", at positions 338 to 795 of the family's 1533-position model. The record is from RNAcentral.
CCUACGGGAGGCAGCAGUGGGGAAUAUUGCACAAUGGGGGAAACCCUGAUGCAGCGACGCCGCGUGAGUGAGGAAGUAUUUCGGUAUGUAAAGCUCUAUCAGCAGGGAAGAAAAUGACGGUACCUGACGAAGAAGCCCCGGCUAACGACGUGCCAGCAGCCGCGGGAAGACGUAGGGGGCAAGCGUUAGCCGGAUUUACUGGGUGUAAAGGGAGCGUAGACGGCUAAUCAAGUCAGCAGUGAAAACCCAGGGCUCAACUUUGGGACUGCUUUUGAAACUGAGUAGCUAGAGUGCAGGAGCGGUAAGCGGAAUUCCUAGUGUAGCGGUGAAAUGCGUAGAUAUUAGGAGGAACACCAGUGGCGAAGGCGGCUUACUGGACUGUAACUGACGUUGCGUCUCGAAAGCGUGGGGAGCAAACAGGAUUAUAUACCCGGGUAGUC